Carassius carassius (crucian carp) is the source of this 411-nucleotide long non-coding RNA. RefSeq lists it as uncharacterized. The record is from RefSeq and is a predicted model, not a curated record. Lineage: Eukaryota; Metazoa; Chordata; Actinopteri; Cypriniformes; Cyprinidae. The transcript has 3 exons.
CUGAAACUCUCUCAAAAACGAGCAUUCCAUUUACUCAAUUGUCAGACAGCCCAAAGAGAUAAUAUGGAUAUGGAAAUGAUCUCUCCCAAAUGGAUGCUGAGCAUGAUUUAUGAGGGAAAUACGAUGACCUAAAGAGAAGGUGUGCUCACCUUGCACCCUGAGAUGUGCCACAACGGAGGUUCCUUCUGCCUCACAGGAAUACAUCCCCCCAUCCUGGGGCUCCACACAGCUAAUGUACAACCGCGCAACAGUCCAGUCCUGUUCCACUAUCACCCUGCGACCGUCUGCUUGCACAGAUGACUUUGGCUCCAGCUUUGUCAAGUUCACAUCGAAAAACUGCAUUUUCCCCAGCUUCACUUUCUAGAUCUUUCAGAGAUGAUUUGAAAAGAACUGGCAGUGCUGCAAAAGGUG